Molecule: ribosomal RNA, 393 nt
Filed under: uncultured bacterium
Lineage: Bacteria
Description: partial 16S ribosomal RNA
Rfam family: Bacterial small subunit ribosomal RNA
Source: RNAcentral
AUACGGAGGAUCCGAGCGUUAUCCGGAUUUAUUGGGUUUAAAGGGUGCGCAGGCGGGAGAUUAAGUCGGCGGUGAAAUUUUGCAGCUCAACUGUAAAAGUGCCUUCGAAACUGGUUUCCUUGAGUGUAGAUGAAGUAGGCGGAAUUUGUUGUGUAGCGGUGAAAUGCAUAGAUAUCACGAGGAACUCCGAUUGCGCAGGCAGCUUACUAAACUACUACUGACGCUCAGGCACGAAGGCGUGGGGAUCAAACAGGAUUAGAUACCCUGGUAGUCCACGCAGUAAACGAUGAUUACUAGCUGUUUGCGAUACAAUGUAAGCGGCUGAGCGAAAGCGUUAAGUAAUCCACCUGGGGAGUACGUUCGCAAGAAUGAAACUCAAAUGAAUUGACGGGG